CUAGUAAAUAAAAUGGGUUGUCUAUAAGGGAAAAAAGCAUAGGAUGGGACUGUGAGCCUGUCGGACUGCUGGCCAGGGUGGGGCUCUGAGAGGCUGAGAGAUAGACUGCAUGUUCUGAAAAUCAGCCAGAAUAUUGAGCCGUUCAGAAAGAAGGAAUACUCUGUUCUUGACCACCCAGGGCAAGGGCAACCACAGAGCAGAUGAAGAAGGUGAUAUGCUAACCCAAUACCACCUGUCACCAAAGGACGAAAGGAAGAAGUAAAAAUAGGGAGGGGAUGGAGGAGAGAGAGAGAAAGGGGACAGGAGGAAAUCUAUUGCUCUAUUUGAAGACAUGAAAAAAAGAUACAACCAACGAAAAGAUGAAUCCAAAUUAAGAAUGUACAUAGGAGGAAACGGGGGUGUCAAAAGACUCAUGCUGCAGGCAUUCUUCAGCUUGUCCCCAGUGGAGCCAAGGGGCCCGAGGGCCGCGAGAGGGGGAGGAGAGAGACCUCAUCACCAGACAAGCGCUGGCGGCCUAGAGACCCCAGGCUGGCUUCCCAGCGCGCGCCAGCUCACUCAAGAUCGGCUUCAGCGGCGCAGGACUCUAGGGUGCGGGGGCACCAAGGGGCGCCUGCAGGGCGGUGGGGGGAGCGGCAAAGCGGUAGGACAACCUGGGAAAGCCCUGGAGGGCUGAGAAGGCUGCGCAGCCUCCACUUCAAAGCGCCUUUCCGAGGCUCUUCCCGGAGCUGGCUGGUGCAGAAGCCAGGGCCCUCCUCCGCGGAGCCACCGCCCUCUGGUGGCAGCGUACAGAGGUUACGGCUGCUCCCUCGGCCCCGCCUCCCCGCGCAAGGCUGGACGGCGGAGGUGCCACUCACGCAUCCUGCAAGCAGGAGGCCCGGUAGCGAGCUCCCACUGGAGACCUGAAACCUGCCAAAAGGGGAAGUCAGACUCGGGUGAUCCGGGACUGGAACCUGAGGUUCUGGAUAGCCCGCCCAACUGAUGACGCUUCCAGCACUUCUGCUAAUUGUAAAAGCAAAAGGCACCAGACAAUGAAGAUUUUAUUUCAAAAUGUUUCUUUGGCGAGGAUCGCCU
Molecule: long non-coding RNA, 1071 nt
Organism: Canis lupus familiaris (dog)
Lineage: Eukaryota; Metazoa; Chordata; Mammalia; Carnivora; Canidae
Exons: 3
Source: RefSeq, a predicted model, not a curated record